UCUAAGGAUGAUUAAAAGUAAAAUUUUAAUCUAAAUAAUAUACAGGUUAAUGUUGACCGUCCUCAUUUCUCUUCUUAAGAUAGUGUUUCUCUUCUGCAUAGGGGCCGGUAGCUCAGUUGGUUAGAGCACACCCUUGAUAAGGGUGGGGUCGAUAGUUCGAGUCUAUCUCGGCCCACCAAAACUUAACCGGGGGAUUAGCUCAGCUGGGAGAGCGCCUGAUUUGCAUUCAGGAGGUCAGCGGUUCGAUCCCGCUAUCCUCCACCAAGAAACACUUAGUUAUUUAAUUUGUGAAUAAAUUUUUAAUAUUAUCAAUAUCUAUAUCCGAUUGUUCGAAUAGAUGAACAAUCAAUGAAUGUUCGAAUAGAUGAACAUUCAAACAAAAUUUGAUUCAACACAGAAUUUUUUUCUGUGCAUAAAU
Molecule: transfer RNA, 418 nt
Filed under: uncultured marine alpha proteobacterium
Lineage: Bacteria; Pseudomonadati; Pseudomonadota; Alphaproteobacteria
Description: 16S-23S intergenic spacer region
Rfam family: tRNA (bases 102-175)
Source: RNAcentral